RNAcentral lists this ribosomal RNA (325 nucleotides) under uncultured bacterium. Its description in RNAcentral is "bacterial SSU rRNA". It matches the Rfam family "Bacterial small subunit ribosomal RNA", at positions 28 to 334 of the family's 1533-position model. The record is from RNAcentral.
GACGAACGCUGGCGGCGUGCUUAACACAUGCAAGUCGAACGGAGCUUUAAGACGGAAGUCUUCGGACGGAAGGCUUAAGGCUUAGUGGCGGACGGGUGAGUAACGCGUGAGUAACCUGCCUUGGACUGGGGAAUAACACACCGAAAGGUGUGCUAAUACCGCAUAAUGUCGUGAAUCGGCAUCGAUUUACGACCAAAGGAGCAAUCCGGUCUUAGAUGGGCUCGCGUCUGAUUAGCUAGUUGGUGAGGUAACGGCUCACCAAGGCGACGAUCAGUAGCCGGACUGAGAGGUUGAACGGCCACAUUGGGACUGAGACACGGCCCAG